Molecule: ribosomal RNA, 265 nt
Filed under: uncultured archaeon
Lineage: Archaea
Description: partial 16S ribosomal RNA
Rfam family: Archaeal small subunit ribosomal RNA
Source: RNAcentral
AGUCACUGACAUUAGAUACCCCCGUAGUCCCAGCCGUAAACUAUGCGCGUUAGGUGUAUCGGUGACCACGAGUUACCGAGGUGCCGAAGGGAAACCGUGAAACGUGCCGCCUGGGAAGUACGGUCGCAAGGCUGAAACUUAAAGGAAUUGGCGGGGGAGCACAACAACGGGUGGAGCCUGCGGUUUAAUUGGACUCAACGCCGGACAACUCACCGGGGACGACAGCAAUAUGUAGGCCAGGCUGAAGACCUUGCCUGAAUCGCUG